RNAcentral lists this ribosomal RNA (118 nucleotides) under Salmo salar (Atlantic salmon). The record is from RNAcentral. Lineage: Eukaryota; Metazoa; Chordata; Actinopteri; Salmoniformes; Salmonidae.
GCGACGGCCAUAUCAGCCUGGGUAUGCCCGAUCUCGUCUGAUCUCGGAAGCUAAGCAGGGUCGGGCCUGGUUAGUACUUGGAUGGGAGACCGCCUGGGAAUACCAGGUGCUGUAAGCA